GAUGGAACCCUAAUAAUAACAUUAUCUUCGCCACUUUGCUUUCCUCUCUCGAGAUCUACCCGUCUUGGGAGUACCUGUUGCUCCCGCCCGAUCUCGCGCUCAUCAAGUCGAUUUCUCCUCCCUGCUUCCUCGAUCUAGCGAUCAGAUAUGGCUGGACAGGCACCAGAAGGAUCACAGUUUGAUGCUCGCCAAUAUGAUACCAAAAUGAAUGAGCUGCUAAAUGCUGAUGGGCAGGACUUUUUCACAUCUUAUGAUGAAGUCUAUGAAAGCUUUGAUGAUAUGGGUCUUCAGGAGAAUCUUCUUAGAGGCAUUUAUGCCUAUGGUUUUGAGAAGCCCUCAGCAAUUCAGCAAAGAGGAAUUGUUCCCUUUUGCAAGGGACUAGAUGUUAUUCAGCAAGCACAAUCAGGGACCGGGAAAACCGCCACCUUUUGUUCUGGUAUUCUGCAGCAGCUUGAUUAUGGUCUGGUUCAAUGCCAAGCCUUGGUUCUUGCUCCAACUAGAGAAUUAGCCCAGCAAAUUGAGAAGGUCAUGCGAGCACUUGGUGACUACCUUGGUGUAAAAGUUCAUGCUUGUGUCGGAGGAACAAGUGUUCGUGAGGACCAGCGUAUUCUUUCAAGUGGGGUUCAUGUUGUGGUGGGCACUCCUGGUCGUGUUUUUGACAUGUUGAGGAGGCAGUCUCUUCGCCCUGAUUAUAUUAAAAUGUUUGUCUUGGAUGAGGCUGAUGAAAUGCUUUCACGUGGCUUCAAGGAUCAGAUCUACGACAUCUUCCAGCUACUUCCUUCAAAGAUUCAGGUUGGAGUCUUUUCUGCCACAAUGCCACCUGAAGCCCUGGAGAUCACUCGGAAGUUCAUGAACAAACCUGUUAGGAUUCUUGUGAAGCGCGAUGAACUCACCCUCGAGGGUAUUAAGCAGUUCUAUGUGAACAUUGAGCAGGAAGAUUGGAAACUAGAUACCCUCUGUGACCUCUACGAGACACUGGCCAUCACUCAAAGUGUCAUCUUCGUCAACACCCGCCGCAAGGUCGACUGGCUCACUGACAAAAUGAGGAGCAGAGAUCACACCGUCUCAGCCACUCACGGCGACAUGGACCAGAACACCAGGGACAUCAUCAUGCGUGAAUUCCGCUCAGGCUCCUCUAGAGUCCUCAUCACAACUGACCUGCUUGCCCGUGGUAUCGAUGUCCAGCAAGUCUCACUCGUCAUAAACUACGAUCUACCAACGCAGCCAGAGAACUACCUCCACAGGAUCGGACGAAGUGGACGGUUCGGGAGAAAGGGUGUGGCGAUAAACUUUGUUGUCCGUGACGAUGAGAGGAUGUUGUAUGACAUCCAAAAGUUUUACAACGUUGUGAUAGAGGAGCUGCCUUCCAAUGUCGCUGAUCUCAUCUGAGCCGAGAACUGCUGAAGCGAUAGCUGGGGUUAUUUAUGCACUGUAAUUUGAAACAAGUAUGAAGCUUUUAGCUUGUCUUGUGAGAGCUGUUGAGGACUCUGGUGAGAGGACAGGAGAUUAGCAGCCCUUCGUAUUGUCGUUCAUGCUGAUUAAUGUCGUUUAGUUCGACUAUGGCUUUUGAUGUUCACUUCUCCCAAAUAUUUUUACCGGAAUGUUUUUUUGUCGGUCUUAGUAAUCGACAAUAAAUAUUAAUUUACUGAAUUGUUUUAUUGUGGUUGGGUGCCUGGGUGGUGAUACCUUGAUUUAAAUUUCUCAUAUGUCUUUUUUCAUUUGUUAUCGUAUACACUAUAACUAGAGUUGCACUGGUGCAAGGUUGUUUA
This is an RNA transcript of Zingiber officinale, 1769 nucleotides long. It is a transcript of the gene named eukaryotic initiation factor 4A-15, with no coding region annotated. The record is from RefSeq and is a predicted model, not a curated record. The transcript has 7 exons. NCBI's taxonomy places the organism in Eukaryota, Viridiplantae, Streptophyta, Magnoliopsida, Zingiberales, Zingiberaceae.